UACGUAGGAGGCGAGCGUUGUCCGGAAUUACUGGGCGUAAAGCGUGCGCAGGCGGUCUGUUAAGACCGAUGUGAAAUCCCCGGGCUUAACCCUGGGAACUGCAUUGGUGACUGGCAGGCUUUGAGUGUGGCAGAGGGAGGUAGAAUUCCACGUGUAGCAGUGAAAUGCGUAGAGAUGUGGAGGAAUACCGAUGGCGAAGGCAGCCUCCUGGGCCAACACUGACGCUCAUGCACGAAAGCGUGGGAGCAAACAGG
This 254-nucleotide ribosomal RNA is filed under the name uncultured bacterium. RNAcentral's name for it is "partial 16S ribosomal RNA". It matches the Rfam family "Bacterial small subunit ribosomal RNA", at positions 524 to 776 of the family's 1533-position model. The record is from RNAcentral.